RNAcentral lists this unclassified non-coding RNA (202 nucleotides) under uncultured Cystobasidiaceae. Its description in RNAcentral is "sequence contains ITS2". Lineage: Eukaryota; Fungi; Basidiomycota; Cystobasidiomycetes; Cystobasidiales; Cystobasidiaceae. The record is from RNAcentral.
AACUCUCAACCCCCCUAUUUUGUAAUGAAAUGGGCGUGGGCUUGGAUUAUGGCUGUCUGUCGGCGUAAUUGCCGGCUCAGCUGAAAUACACGAGCAACCCUAUUGAAAUAGACGGUUUGACUUGGCGUAAUAAUUAUUUCGCUAAGGACGUCUUCUUCAAAUGUAAGAGGUGCUUCUAAUGCGCUUUUAAAGCAACUUAAGC